GGAGUUUGGGGUCCUCUGAAAGAAGGUGAAAAAGGGGGAGAAUUACUGAGGUUGGUGAAGACCCCAGAGGAAAGAUUUGAGGGUCAAAGCCUCCAAUUUGAGCAGAAAAAUCUGAAAAAGAGAAA
This is a long non-coding RNA of Calypte anna (Anna's hummingbird), 125 nucleotides long. RefSeq lists it as uncharacterized. The transcript has 3 exons. The record is from RefSeq and is a predicted model, not a curated record. NCBI's taxonomy places the organism in Eukaryota, Metazoa, Chordata, Aves, Apodiformes, Trochilidae.